RNAcentral lists this ribosomal RNA (491 nucleotides) under uncultured bacterium. RNAcentral's name for it is "partial 16S ribosomal RNA". It matches the Rfam family "Bacterial small subunit ribosomal RNA", at positions 29 to 507 of the family's 1533-position model. The record is from RNAcentral.
GUGAACGCUGGCGGUAGGCCUAACCCAUGCAAGUCGAACGGCAGCACAGUAAGAGCUUGCCCUUACGGGUGGCGAGUGGCGGACGGGUGAGGAAUACAUCGGAAUCUACUUUUUCGUGGGGGAUAACGUAGGGAAACUUACGCUAAUACCGCAUACGACCUACGGGUGAAAGCAGGGGAUCUUCGGACCUUGCGCGAUUGAAUGAGCCGAUGUCGGAUUAGCUAGUUGGCGGGGUAAAGGCCCACCUGGGCGACGAUCCGUAGCUGGUCUGAGAGGAUGAUCAGCCACACUGGAACUGAGACACGGUCCAGACUCCUACGGGAGGCAGCAGUGGGGAAUAUUGGACAAAGGGCGCAAGCCUGAUCCAGCCAUACCGCGUGGGUGAAGAAGGCCUUCGGGUUGUAAAGCCCUUUUGUUGGGAAAGAAAAGCAGCAGGUUAAUACCCCGCUGUUCUGACGGUACCCAAAGAAUAAGCACCGGCUAACUUCGUG